GUGGGGAAUCUUAGACAAUGGGCGCAAGCCUGAUCUAGCCAUGACGCGUGAUCGAUGAAGGCCUUAGGGUUGUAAAGAUCUUUCAGUGGGGAAGAUAAUGACUGUACCCACAGAAGAAGCCCCGGCUAACUCCGUGCCAGCAGCCGCGGUAAUACGGAGGGGGCUAGCGUUGUUCGGAAUUACUGGGCGUAAAGCGCACGUAGGCGGAACAGAAAGUCAGAGGUGAAAUCCCAGGGCUCAACCUUGGAAUUGCCUUUGAUACUGGCUGUCUUGAGUUUGGGAGAGGUGAGUGGAACUCCGAGUGUAGAGGUGAAAUUCGUAGAUAUUCGGAAGAACACCAGUGGCGAAGGCGGCUCACUGGCUCGAUACUGACGCUGAGGUGCGAAAGCGUGGGGAGCAAACAGGAUUAGAAACCCGUGUAGUCC
This 425-nucleotide ribosomal RNA is filed under the name uncultured bacterium. Its description in RNAcentral is "partial 16S ribosomal RNA". It matches the Rfam family "Bacterial small subunit ribosomal RNA", at positions 354 to 796 of the family's 1533-position model. The record is from RNAcentral.